GACGAACGCUGGCGGCGUGCCUAAUACAUGCAAGUCGAACGCACUCUCGUUUAGAUUGAAGGAGCUUGCUCCUGAUUGAUAAACAUUUGAGUGAGUGGCGGACGGGUGAGUAACACGUGGGUAACCUGCCCUAAAGUGGGGGAUAACAUUUGGAAACAGAUGCUAAUACCGCAUAAAACCUAAACACCGCAUGGUGUAGGGUUGAAAGAUGGUUUCGGCUAUCACUUUAGGAUGGACCCGCGGUGCAUUAGUUAGUUGGUGAGGUAAAGGCUCACCAAGACCGUGAUGCAUAGCCGACCUGAGAGGGUAAUCGGCCACACUGGGACUGAGACACGGCCCAGACUCCUACGGGAGGCAGCAGUAGGGAAUCUUCCACAAUGGACGAAAGUCUGAUGGAGCAACGCCGCGUGAGUGAAGAAGGUUUUCGGAUCGUAAAACUCUAGUUGUUGGAGAAGAAUGUAUCUGAUAGUAACUGAUCAGGUAGUGACGGUAUCCAACCAGAAAG
Molecule: ribosomal RNA, 505 nt
Filed under: uncultured bacterium
Lineage: Bacteria
Description: bacterial SSU rRNA
Rfam family: Bacterial small subunit ribosomal RNA
Source: RNAcentral